This 497-nucleotide ribosomal RNA is filed under the name uncultured bacterium. RNAcentral's name for it is "partial 16S ribosomal RNA". It matches the Rfam family "Bacterial small subunit ribosomal RNA", at positions 28 to 507 of the family's 1533-position model. The record is from RNAcentral.
GAUGAACGCUGGCGGCGUGCCUAAUACAUGCAAGUCGAGCGAACGGACGAGAAGCUUGCUUCUCUGAUGUUAGCGGCGGACGGGUGAGUAACACGUGGAUCACCUACCUAUAAGACCGGGAUAACUUCGGGAAACCGGAGCUAAUUCCGGAUAAUAUUUUGAACCGCAUGGUUCAACAGUGAAAGACGGUCUUGCUGUCACUUAUAGAUGGAUCCGCGCUGCAUUAGCUAGUUGGUAAGGUAACGGCUUACCAAGGCAAGGAUGCGUAGCCGACCUGACAGCGUGAUGGGCCACGCCUGAACUGUGACGCGGUCCAGACUCCUACGGGGGGCAGCCGGAGGGAGUCUUCAGCAGUGGGCGAAAGCCUGAAGGAGCCACGCGGCGUUAGUUAUGAAGCUGCUCGGAUCGUGAAACUCUGUUAUCAGGGGAUGACAUAAGCGUAGGGAAAGGUGCUGACCGGGACGAUACCUACUCAUAAACGUCCGGCUAAACACGCG